UGCAACCCUAACACGAACUCCGCAGUCUCUUCCCCUUCCUUUUUCUCUUCUCCUUGGCUCCUAAUCGAGGUCCCUCCGCACUCUUACUCUGGGGCCUUUGCUCGACCUCGCUCCCUCAGUCUCUCUGCUCCGCCGCCACGGUGGUUGAUUUCGACCACCAUAAGCCUUAUCUUCUGAAUUUGCCCAAUCCAAGUUGCGACCAUCAAAGCUAUUUCCACCCACACCGGAUUGCAUGCUCUUUGGAUUUGAGAUUGUGUGGAUGUACUGUUGGUAUUCAAAGCCAUUGUAUUUUGCUAAGAGAUUGGUAGCACCAGGGUACAAUCAAGGUCUGAAGGGUUUUUUGCCAAAUGACAUUUCCAAACUUCAUAAUCUGCAAAUCCUUUGAGUUUCUUCUCCUACAAUAAUUGUUGAAAGAGCAGGGUCCUUUGCUUGGGCACAUAAAAGCUGGAGAGUCAGAGAGGAGUUUACAGGCAGCUACAAUUAAUCUAUUUGCAGCUACUACUGAGCUUCCACUUCAACAAGCAUCCUCCCCCCUGUAUUGACUUUUACAAAUAAGCUGUACACAUCUUUUGUACAUUUAAAUAUUGUUGGCAUGUAAUAAUAAGAGUCAUUUAGUAUUUUGUAUAUAUUGGCUAAAGGACUCACUUGCAUUAUCAUGUUACUUGCCAAAAACGGGGUUCAUGCCAUAGCAAUGGCUAAUUUCAAUUCUUGAAUUUUUGAGCCAAAAAUAAAGAAUUGUUAAUAUUGCCA
This is a long non-coding RNA of Glycine soja, 750 nucleotides long. RefSeq lists it as uncharacterized. The record is from RefSeq and is a predicted model, not a curated record. The transcript is spliced from 3 exons. NCBI's taxonomy places the organism in Eukaryota, Viridiplantae, Streptophyta, Magnoliopsida, Fabales, Fabaceae.